GAUGAACGCUGGCGGCGUGCCUAAUACAUGCAAGUCGAGCGAACAGACGAGGAGCUUGCUCCUCUGACGUUAGCGGCGGACGGGUGAGUAACACGUGGAUAACCUACCUAUAAGACUGGGAUAACUUCGGGAAACCGGAGCUAAUACCGGAUAAUAUAUUGAACCGCAUGGUUCAAUAGUGAAAGACGGUUUUGCUGUCACUUAUAGAUGGAUCCGCGCCGCAUUGGCUAGUUGGUAAGGUAACGGCUUACCAAGGCAACGAUGCGUAGCCGACCUGAGAGGGUGAUCGGCCACACUGGAACUGAGACACGGUCCAGACUCCUACGGGAGGCAGCAGUAGGGAAUCUUCCGCAAUGGGCGAAAGCCUGACGGAGCAACGCCGCGUGAGUGAUGAAGGUCUUCGGAUCGUAAAACUCUGUUAUUAGGGAAGAACAACUGUGUAAGUAAAUAUGCACGUCUUGACGGUACCUAAACAGAAAGCCACGGCUAACUACGUG
This 497-nucleotide ribosomal RNA is filed under the name uncultured bacterium. RNAcentral's name for it is "partial 16S ribosomal RNA". It matches the Rfam family "Bacterial small subunit ribosomal RNA", at positions 28 to 507 of the family's 1533-position model. The record is from RNAcentral.